GGGUAUAGCUCAGUGGUAGAGUGCAUGCUUAGCAUGCAAAAGGCUCCAGGUUCAAUUCCCAGUACUUCCA
RNAcentral lists this transfer RNA (70 nucleotides) under Camelus bactrianus (Bactrian camel). It matches the Rfam family "tRNA". From Rfam's summary of the family: Transfer RNA (tRNA) molecules are approximately 80 nucleotides in length. Their secondary structure includes four short double-helical elements and three loops (D, anti-codon, and T loops). Lineage: Eukaryota; Metazoa; Chordata; Mammalia; Artiodactyla; Camelidae. RNAcentral also lists the same sequence under 2 other names. The record is from Rfam by way of RNAcentral.